CUCACCAGUGAUGAGUUAAUACCGCCCCAGUCUGAAAGCUAUGACGAAGGGUAUUUCUGAGUUGUG
Small nucleolar RNA from Mesocricetus auratus (golden hamster), 66 nucleotides. The record is from Ensembl. NCBI's taxonomy places the organism in Eukaryota, Metazoa, Chordata, Mammalia, Rodentia, Cricetidae.